AAAUGAACGAUGAACGAACCAUUGACCCGGAGACACGGCGUUAAACAUCACCACACUGUCUGCGGGAGAAGGCUUCACGCAGCCACUGCGCGCGACCUGCCGUCGCCAACUUAAUUAAGCCGCAACUAGUGGCCGCCCUCGCUCAAAGGCCUCAACUCGCCAACACUCCGAGAAUCCCGCACACAAUCUACAAACCAUAGUUGGACGUCUGCAGGGGCCGCAUCACCACAAGACAAAAGGAGAAAAGCAAGCUCAGUUUCUUGUGUAUUUAUUCUGUAACGUUACUGACUUACUGAGAAUGUGAUAUUUUAGGUUCAUAACUAAUAACUAGGGGCGGAUGCGGGCAGACGAGCUGCCGCUUACUGCGGAGCGGCUCCCGGUAACGUGAGAUGUGAUGUUAUAUAAUAUAUUAUAACAUUUCUAUAGGUAGAUAUUCGUGUGAAUUCUAUUAACGUUACUUAACGUUAAAUUUAAACAGCAGAAGUGACGCAUGCGGUCGACAAACGCGUCCUUAAGGAUGCAGCCUAGCGCCUUUGAGACUCAGCCACAGCCUGUGUGUGUGAGAGAGGUCAAACCUUGCAUUAUGUUAUAAAAGGGGUGAAUGAGUAAUGAUAAAACAACACAGGGGUAGACAGGAUGACCACACCUCACCGUUUUUUAGUUUCCUGUAUGUAAAAUACUGCCACAGAGCUGCAUGUCUUUAGCUAUUUGCAAGCUGACCAAAUGCUUACCAAACAACUUUGCAGUAUGCAGCUACAGAGAGUUUAAGACGUCUAUCACGGGACAAUUUUGCCACACCGGUGCAACAAUGGAACACUGUGAUGGUUUCUCAACGAUAUGACAGCCCAAAUGGGAUUAACCACCCAGAGCACCAAUGAGGUUGAGUAAUUUAUAAUUGUUUUAUUUUCUCCAUCUUAACGUAUUUAAAAUGUAUUUACAUGCAUGCAGAUCUUUUAGAUAUCGGCUGCAACCGGAAUCCUAAAGCUUGCGGAAAGCUAACUACAAGCUACAAAGCUAACUACAGACUUAGAUAAGAAACCUUCAAGAAAUAGAAAAGAAAAUCAAGGCGUUGAGUGGCUCACCACUGCCCUCAACAAGCAAGGCAUCUUGACAAGGUAAUGAAGUGAUUGGUGUGAUAUAAAAAGUAAAGAACAAAAAUGUUAUUAUAACUGUGAAAUAUUUUCGAAAACGGCCUAUGGAUUCCUCCCAAUAAAGAGGGUGGGGUUAAACACUCAAAUUGAGGGUAUAUUUUUAGAUUUGCGUUUAUGUACAUGUGUUUAAACAGCUUUCUUUUAUUAUUGCACCGACGGGAUGUGGCGGCUUGGUCUAAACCAAAUGAAGAGACUGAACUUUUUAUUCCAAGAUACGUCGACACGAUAAGCGAUGAGGAGUUAUUCCGCUGUGCUGAGCUCGAAGAGGAUGUGAGAACAGGAGGCCGCAGGUGAGCAGAGAGGGUCCUCUGCGCUGAUUUUACCGAAUGCCGAAGAGGAUAUGCCUAGACUUACAGUAAUAGAUCCACAAACGAGCAUGAAUCACGACACUGACUCAAAUAACCGACAUGUCGAGUUGUUUAAGGAGAUGCAGGACUUGUACCGCUCCAACCAGAAUUUAACAUCAUUAGUGACCAGUCUCUGUAAAUUGCAGGUCGAUUGAUUAAAAGAGCACAGGACAAGACUCAGUGAACCAUAAAACAUUAUAUGACAAUACAUGAGAAAGCCAGUUCGACUAUCAUAGACCUGCUCACAGAUAGAUUUAAUCAAGGUGAUCUAUAAGGGUUUUUGGUGUCAUAAAGGGUUGUUACGUGUGUGGGUAAUGGAAAAGGUUCCUUAUGUUUAAAACCCAGUAUGGUCGCCAGCUGUCCUUCAAGGGACAGAAAUCCACACAUUGGUAGCUGGAUGGUGCAUCUUGUGUUGUGUCGUGUCGUGUGUGUUGGUGCAUACAAAGAGGGAGUUAGAUCUGAUCUGCUGGAAGCACCAUUGAGCAGUUUGAAACACUCAAACGUAACAUUUAAUGAAACUGUGGGAGGGACGUUCAGAUGAAGCCUAUGACCCCCGUUGGACCAGCUAUUGUAGUGAAGCAGGUACAAUGGUGACAUGAAGCCCUGUCACACCGCAGUGUCUGCUCUUUGAUUAAAAGGAUGCUUGUAAGUCACUUACGGUCAGGGCUAGAAAGGUGUGUUGGUAUAUUAAUGUUCAUAACGUGUCCCUGGGUUAGCUUGUGUUUUCAACCCCUCUUAUGAUUGUCUGCCUUGUACCGAAUUAUUUCCUCCUGUGUCCAAUCACCUGCACCUCCUCGGUGUGUUUAAACCAUUGUCUCUC
Molecule: non-coding RNA, 2318 nt
Organism: Gasterosteus aculeatus aculeatus (three-spined stickleback)
Lineage: Eukaryota; Metazoa; Chordata; Actinopteri; Perciformes; Gasterosteidae
Source: RefSeq, a predicted model, not a curated record